RNAcentral lists this ribosomal RNA (247 nucleotides) under uncultured bacterium. RNAcentral's name for it is "partial 16S ribosomal RNA". It matches the Rfam family "Bacterial small subunit ribosomal RNA", at positions 523 to 769 of the family's 1533-position model. The record is from RNAcentral.
AUACGGAGGAUACAAGCGUUAUCCGGAUUUAUUGGGUUUAAAGGGUGCGCAGGCGGACUAAUAAGUCAGAGGUGAAAUUUUGCAGCUUAACUGUAAACGUGCCUUUGAUACUGCCGGACUAGAGUUUAAGAGACGUAAUUGGAAUGUGAUGUGUAGCGGUGAAAUGCUUAGAUAUAUCACAGAACGCCGAUCGUGAAGACAGAUUACGAACUUAAUACUGACGCUCAUGCACGAAAGCGUGGGGAUC